Molecule: long non-coding RNA, 372 nt
Filed under: Marmota monax (woodchuck)
Lineage: Eukaryota; Metazoa; Chordata; Mammalia; Rodentia; Sciuridae
Source: RNAcentral
UGUGAUAUUAUCACUUAAAAUAUACUAGUUAUUUUCAUGUCUGUAUGUCCUGGUAGACCAAAACCCGUUUUUGGACACUCUUUGAAAAAGCCAAAAAUGUUUGUAUAUGUUUUACAUUUUUCUUAUUCUACUGAGAAUGAAGGUAGUUGGUAGAUAUUUCCUAAAUACACAGUAAUAUCUUAUGGAGGACAAAAGGCUGUGGAUGAUAAAAGUAACAUACUUACCUUCUCUUUAUUAUAUUACUUUUCUUAAUGAUGUACUCAUCUUGCAUACUGUGGUCUGUACAAGAAUUGGGGUAAUAUUCUCACGGUAAUUUUGUCUGUACAUUUUUAUUAAACUGAUAUAUUUUUUUCUUUAUGAUGAUUUGGACUU